This 2976-nucleotide ribosomal RNA is filed under the name Triticum aestivum (bread wheat). Its description in RNAcentral is "partial small subunit ribosomal RNA". Lineage: Eukaryota; Viridiplantae; Streptophyta; Magnoliopsida; Poales; Poaceae. The record is from RNAcentral.
AUGCAGUUUGCAACUUUACCUUUGGACGCCCAGCAUAUUCAGUCUGCGGGUGCUGUCCAAGAGGCAUCAGUACCCAAAAAGCUUUGGUGUUCCAAAUGCCAAUCUGCUGGACACAAGGCGGACGACUGCGAGACGCAGCAAUAUUGCUUCAUCUGUAACAAGACCAAUCACCCGAUGACCAUGAGACGGUGCCCUGCCUUAAAGCUACCAAAGCCGGCGGCGAUGCUAUGUGGUUAUGGAACUGAAACUAUGGCAUUUUUUCAGAUGCCUGAUAAUGUUUGUAGGGAGGAUCUCUCACAGCAGGACUCACGGAUAGCUUUGGUUUCGAUUUCUGGUGGUUCACUUUCUGCCAAUAUUGUGGAGGUGGAGGUGGCUAAGAUUGCUCAGGUUCAGUGGAAUUGGGAGGCGGUGCCACAUGGUGAGGAUGCAUUUCUGAUGUCGUUUCCUAGUGAGGAGGUUUUGCAGAGGGUGACCGGUUUUGCAGUUUUCCUCAAGUCUCACAAUGUCACCAUCGAGUUCAAGCCUUGGAAGUCAGACGAGAUACCACAUCGUUUCGAGCUUAUUCCUAUUUGGGUACAUGUGCACGGUGUGCCUCACGCUCUUCGUCAUUUCUUGGGUCUUUGGGCGGUCGGCUCGGUUAUUGGAGCAACUCUGGAUGUCGAUCUUCUAUGUUUGCGUCGCAGAGGAAUUGUUCGUAUUCAGGUAGCGGUGCUGAACCUUGAUGCUUUCAAGAGAAGCACAAUUGAUUCUCUUACUUCUGACGUGGUCGUUCAGAGGAAGGGUUAUGAGUUCCGGUACAGCCUGGAAAAAGAGGACUUUCGUGUUGAUGCUGAUUUUGUGCCUCGAGUAUGGGAGCAUGGGGAUGAUUCAGGAGGCGAUAAGGGACAUGAGAGGGAUGACACAGUGGGGGGCAAUGAUACAAGUAAAAGGCCCAAACCCACUUCUUCAUCAUCCAACAACACCUCGGCCCCUCCUACCUCGGGCGGAGUGGUACCCAUGCAGAUGGCCAUUGACGUCACACCGUCGAACCCUCAUCGAGGCUUACCUGCCACAGCUGCUUCUUCGUCACUCAUGGGGUCUUCUUCGUCGGUGCCGGCUAGUUCGUCUAACAUUGCUUCGCCGACGACGCUGGCGCCCAGGUCCUCGACGCCGCCAUCACCGACUCACUGGUCGGCGCCGCCGCACCUCGACGACGGGGGUCACAUGCGUCCCAUACCGGAGGGGAUGGCAACCGCAGUGGUGAAUGCGAGCGCUCCAUCGCCUACACCUGUCUCUCCGACUCGACGGGGAGUGAUCUUCUCCCCGUCCAUUCGUGCUUGCCAGGAGUCUGCCAGGGCGGAACUCCGCGCGUUAUCAUCUACACCUCCGUCACCAGGGGGGGCGUCGGCUUCCGGUCCCGAGGAGGCUGAGGAGCAGCCCCUGCGAUCUUCUUCUUCACCACCACAACAGCCUACUACGCCUCUCGGAGUCGUUGGGACAGGCUCAACGUCCGAUAUUACUCCUUCGCUGCUGAGGCGCAGCGGGUGUCAUUACGUCGGGACUGACGGUUCAGCAGCCACCGACGAGGACUCUAUGGUGAAGGCCAUGCGUAGGACGGCUGCGCGCAACCUCGACUUCGAAGGACGUAAUGAGAAAAAGAUAGACUUUUCGGUUAGGGCCCUUAAACAAGUGGAGUUCGACCGGAUUACGGUUGCUCCUAAGUUGUCGAGCUUUGUUGACCCUCUCGUGUCAGAUGAGGAGGAUGAGGAUGCUGAUGCCAAUCAUGAAGGCAAGCUUCUCUCUCAUUUGGUUAAAGACACGACUGAAGUAGACUUUGACGAUACUGUACGCGACACUACGCUUUGUGAGCUUGUCGCAUCGGUGCGUUAUUCAUGUGUGUACACGAUGACUCCGUACUUGGUCUAUCCUGCAGAGGCCGGAGGACAUAGACCUUUUUAUGAUGGCGUCUACAUGGCUGGAGCAUACGGCCAGGGAGGUUUUCUACCCCCAUGGAUGGCGGGAGUAGAUGCAUACUUGCGCACCGCAUGCUGCUUAUUGAUUGGAGGGAGACACCAAUGGACAAAGGGAAACGACACGAUGCAAGAAUUGAGCAAACCUGGCACCUGCUGGUGGCCCAGCUACGUCUUUAGCGUGCACAUGGUGCAACUUCCACCGGCGCCUGAGGCGUCCAUGUCCCAUUGGGCCAAGUUCCGACCAGUCCUCUUUCCAAGCCAUCCCCGAAGUCCCGUCUAUGUCAGCUUCGACAACCCUAGCUUCCUUUACUCCUUUGCCGCGGCCGAGGGCAUCGUCUUUCUCAGGCAUGGGCUAUCGUAUGGCUUGUCCGUAGGCCAGAUCGGACGGUUCCUGCCGUUCCUCUCGUUGCUCAGCCUGAUAGGCCCCGUGAGGAAGACGACGUCCUCGUUUUAUUCUCCACAUAUGCUGCUCCCCGCGUUCGCAAGAUCAACCCCUUCCCUUCUCUUUCUCGAGCCGAUCCUCCUCGACGGCUCCACAACUACUGCUCCACCGCCUCCGUCGGAUCCAGCCUUCGCUUCUCUUUUAAGGCGACGAAGGAUGUGGAGUUUGACUCCAACUCCUAAAGGCUCGUCUCUCAUGUGUACGGAACAAACUAUUGAGGAUAGACGUCUGUGUUAUGUCGGCAAUAGGCCGGACUCACUUCCUUGUUCAAUCCCUGGCUCUAGCAUGAAUCAGUUCCAACGUGGCUCCAGAUGGUUUUGGUUUUUACCAAAACCUAUUGUUGUUCGUGUGCACCCGGAUAUAGAAUAUGGCCGCGACCCAGCUACACUCAUCACCAUCGUCGUUGCCACACAUGUCGCAACGCCAACUGCGCAUAUCGCCGGACGGACACCUGCCGACCGCAACGUCGUGAGCGUCCCACCUAUGGAAUGCACGAAUAGGAUCAAUGUUCUUCAAGGUGAUGCUACCAAGAGAGGAUGCGACGAGGACGACGCCGUCGGCCGACCCAACGACGGGCCUUAG